RNAcentral lists this ribosomal RNA (796 nucleotides) under uncultured bacterium. Its description in RNAcentral is "bacterial SSU rRNA". It matches the Rfam family "Bacterial small subunit ribosomal RNA", at positions 72 to 870 of the family's 1533-position model. The record is from RNAcentral.
UUGGGAGCUUGCUCCCAUGAGAGUGGCGCACGGGUGAGUAACGCGUAUGCAACCUACCUUUAACUGAGGGAUAGCCCAUAGAAAUGUGGAUUAAUACCUCAUAGUUCUGAGAAGCCGCAUGGUUUUUCAGAUAAAGCUCCGGCGGUUAAAGAUGGGCAUGCGUGACAUUAGUUUGUUGGUGAGGUAACGGCUCACCAAGACUACGAUGUCUAGGGGUUCUGAGAGGAUGAUCCCCCACACUGGUACUGAGACACGGACCAGACUCCUACGGGAGGCAGCAGUGAGGAAUAUUGGUCAAUGGGCGCAAGCCUGAACCAGCCAUCCCGCGUGAAGGAUGAAGGCCCUAUGGGUCGUAAACUUCUUUUAUACACCAAGAAAAAGCAGGACGUGUCCUGCCCCGACGGUAGUGUAUGAAUAAGCAUCGGCUAACUCCGUGCCAGCAGCCGCGGUAAUACGGAGGAUGCAAGCGUUAUCCGGAUUUAUUGGGUUUAAAGGGUGCGUAGGCGGCUUUUUAAGUCAGUGGUGAAAUCCUGUCGCUUAACGAUAGAAUUGCCAUUGAUACUGAAAAGCUUGAGUACAAUUGAGGUAAGCGGAAUGUGUAGUGUAGCGGUGAAAUGCUUAGAUAUUACACAGAACACCGAUUGCGAAGGCAGCUUACUAAACUGUCACUGACGCUGAUGCACGAAAGCGUGGGGAGCGAACAGGAUUAGAUACCCUGGUAGUCCACGCCGUAAACGAUGAUCACUCGCUGUAUGCGAUACACAGUAUGCGGCCAAGCGAAAGCAUUAAGUGAUCC